AUUGAACGCUGGCGGCAUGCCUUACACAUGCCAGUCGAACGGUAACGGGCCUUCGGGUGCCGACGAGUGGCGAACGGGUGAGUAAUACAUCGGAACGUGCCCGAUCGUGGGGGAUAACGAGGCGAAAGCUUUGCUAAUACCGCAUACGAUCUACGGAUGAAAGCAGGGGACCGCAAGGCCUUGCGCGGACGGAGCGGCCGAUGGCAGAUUAGGUAGUUGGUGGGAUAAAAGCUUACCAAGCCAACGAUCUGUAGCUGGUCUGAGAGGAUGAUCAGCCACACUGGGACUGAGACACGGCCCAGACUCCUACGGGAGGCAGCAGUGGGGAAUUUUGGACAAUGGGCGCAAGCCUGAUCCAGCCAUGCCGCGUGCAGGAUGAAGGCCUUCGGGUUGUAAACUGCUUUUGUACGGAACGAAAAGCCUUCUUUUAAUACAGGAGGGUCAUGACGGUACCGUAAGAAUAAGCACCGGCUAACUACGUG
This 482-nucleotide ribosomal RNA is filed under the name uncultured bacterium. RNAcentral's name for it is "partial 16S ribosomal RNA". It matches the Rfam family "Bacterial small subunit ribosomal RNA", at positions 30 to 507 of the family's 1533-position model. The record is from RNAcentral.